UGUCUAGAUACAGCUGCCCAGAGCUCCGUGCUCUGGGUGUCUCCUCAGACUGGGGGAGGGGUUGGCACCUGCCCCCCCAGUACCUCCUGGGGCUGCUGAUAAGAGUUGGGCUUUGCCUAUCAGCCUGGUAUUCUACCUCUGGCUGCUCACAGGCUAAGAACAGAGAUGGGGCGCUCCUGCCACCCCACCCCAAGCCCCUGUGUGACCCACAGCUCAGAGAGCCCUGGAUGCCACCUGCUGGCCUCUACCUGGUGAUGGGGUAUUUUUAAAGCAACUUAAAAAAUUGAGAAUAGAGAUUCUGUUCUAAAUUAUAGAUAUAAAUAGUCCUGCUAGAAUCUGGGUGUUGUAGCUUAAGCCUAUAAUCUCAGUACUCAGGAAGCUGAGGCAGGAGGAUUACCUUGAGUUUGGAGCCAGCCUCUGUUUCACAGACCCCGUCUCAAAGGGAAUGUAAGUAAAUAAAUGAAUACAUGUUACUUGCAGUACAGAUAAACAUCCUCUGGUAGAGAGUCAGUGGGAUGUGCACGCACAUCUGUGUGCGCACACAAGAUACUGCCUGUUUCCUUAGUUAAAUUUUUGAGACAGGGCUUCACUCUGUAUCCCAGGUUAUGGCCUGGAACUUGAGAUCCUCCUGCUUCAGCUUCCUACCACACAGGAUGCAGGAUUCGCAUUUGGGGCCAGGCUCUGUGCGGAGACAAAGGGGCAUGUAACAGUAAGGCACAAAGCUUGGGGGAGUUCCUUAUAUAACAACCGAAACAUAGCUGAGGGGCAGAAAAGCACCUCCUGGAAUGAGGAAACUGCACACAAGAGUAUUUCAGAACCCCACCUUGGAGGGCUGGGGAUGUACCUCAGUGUUGGAGUGGGCACGGACAAAGUCCAGGAUUCCAUCUCCAGCAAAAGACACAUACACACACACACACACACACCAGCUUGGAUGGCCCUUCCUGCAACCAGGUUUGCAUAGCUGUGCAAGGAAGGCGGUCAUACCCUGUCUCUUACAGCCAAGCCGACGACCUGUGUGUGAGGCAGGGGGCUGCCUCAGUGCAGCACUGGACCCCCCUUACCACUGACUGCAGAUGAUGAGCCCCAGAACACCCCGGGGUUCUGUGAGAGGCCUCCACACUAGCCAUCAGGAGCAGAGGGCAGCGGACACCACCUCAGUACAGAGUGUGCCAGUGUGUUCCAGGUCCCCAUCAAACCCGCCAUUUCUGCCUGGACAUGAGCCGUGUUUUCGGCCCUCGUCGAGAGUGGCCACGGAAGUCCCCCGAAGCAAGAACAUCUGCCCUGGAAUUCCCGCAUGAAGACCCGAGCCUUCACAAGCCGAGGGAAGGGAGAUGCAGCUCAGCUGUGGCCCACGGAGCCAGAGUGUGAGCCGAGCUGACUCUGCUCCUGGGGGUGUCCCGAGAGAGGUGCUGAUGGUCAGCCUUUUAUCACAGCACCAGAGAUCAAACUGAGACAGAGCAUCGCCUCUGGUGCAGAUCAAGGUCAGCCGAUUCCUGGGAGAGGUUCCUGCCCGUGAUCCUCUGUGGUCUCUCGACCCGACAUGUGCAGUGCAGACCAUACCAGCGCCUCCUUCACAGUCCUGCUGGGACUCCUAGGCCCGGCAGGCUUCCUGACCCCUGGAGUGCAGACAACGUUUGUACUGUGGCUAGGACCACAGGACACGCCUGCGUGGUGCAUCCAGCUGUCGUGGAUCUCAGCAGUGCUUACAGUGUCAUGUCUGCGACAGAGCGUGUGGGCACACAGGAGCAGGGGACAUGGGCACUGGGCUGUGCUGACUUCCUUCUCACCCCGUUCAAGUUGAACAUGACCCUGGGCCUUGGAAACCUUGUGGUGUUAUUUUCCAGGCCACAAACAUAUUUGAUGGGGUUCAUGGGGUGCCCCUCCCCUCACUCGCCCACCCAGGCCUGCUGCUCCCGGCCCAGGACACCUGUGCCCACACCAAGGGCUGGCCUGCAGGUGCCCAAGGAGCGCUGGCCUGCUUUGUGACCAGCUCCUAACCCUCCCAUACCCUGCUCACUGAUCCUUUCAGUGCCAUUUUUCCCUACCCCGAGGGCAUACCGGCUGUGCCCACUGUGGGCAGGAAUGCAUCCGGGGCCUCACACUAGACACAGGUGCUGUCAGUUCCAGGCUGCUAUGCACUGGAGAUCCAUUGCAUUCAAAAUUUGCCUACAGCUGAGUGAACGGGUCCUAGUGGGGAGACUGAGCGUGUCACUCCUGGAACCACGAAUUAAUUUUAGUCCCAUAGAUGCCACGGUGAGGUGGGCCUCUCCUAGCAGCACCCCCACCUCUGCCUCAGGACGUUUGCGCCCACCGUUCUCAUUUCCGACUUGUUCUUUCUUCCGGCCUACCUUCUGUUGACUGGCAUCUCUUACUUCCUCUUUCAUUCUGGCCAUAUCCAGGCUUCCAUGCCCUUCCCCUACCCGAUAGCUCACUGCUCAGCAAGU
Molecule: long non-coding RNA, 2444 nt
Organism: Apodemus sylvaticus (European woodmouse)
Lineage: Eukaryota; Metazoa; Chordata; Mammalia; Rodentia; Muridae
Exons: 3
Source: RefSeq, a predicted model, not a curated record